RNAcentral lists this unclassified non-coding RNA (1328 nucleotides) under Hevea brasiliensis (rubber tree). The record is from RNAcentral. Lineage: Eukaryota; Viridiplantae; Streptophyta; Magnoliopsida; Malpighiales; Euphorbiaceae.
GGAUGGGAUGCUUUUCCAGUAUAGCUGCUCAAGCAGGUUUUCUUGCAUUUCUUCAAUUUGGGAAGACUGUUGCAGAAAGUAAAAAAGACCCGAUCAAGCUUUUGAAGUUGCUGGAUAUAUUCGCAUCUCUAAACAAGUUAAGGCUGGAUUUUAACAGGCUCUUUGGUGGAGCAGCCUGUAUUGAGAUCCAAAACCUUACAAGGGACCUCAUUAAGAGGGUGAUUGAUGGGGCAUCCGAGAUUUUCUGGGAACUUUUGGUUCAGGUGGAGUUGCAGAGGCAGAUUCCUCCUCCUCCAGAUGGGGGUGUGCCGAGACUAGUAAGCUUUAUCACUGAUUACUGUAAUAAGCUUCUUGGGGAUGACUAUAAGCCCAUUCUGACCCAGGUUCUGAUCAUUCAUCGAAGUUGGAAGCACGAGAGGUUUCAGGAGAGACUCCUUGUUACUGAGGUACUGAAUGUAAUAAAAGCCAUUGAGCUCAAUGUGGAGACUUGGACAAAGGCUUACGAAGACACCAUCCUAUCUAACCUUUUUGCUAUGAACAACCACUAUCAUUUGNNNNNNNNNNNNGAGAUCUCUUGGGAGAUUCUUGGUUAAGAGAACAUGAGCAGUACAAGGACUAUUAUGCCACGAUCUUCUUAAGAGACAGUUGGGGGAAGCUUCCCAGUCAUCUAAGUCGGGAAGGUCUUAUUCUUUUCUCAGGUGGGCGUGCCACUGCUCGUGAUCUUGUCAAGAAAAGGCUGAAGACUUUCAAUGAAGCUUUUGAUGAAAUGUACAGGAAGCAGUCAAACUGGGUUAUGCCCGAGAGAGACCUCAGGGAGAAGACAUGCCAAUUGAUAGUGCAAGCGGUUGUUCCUGUUUAUCGAAGUUAUAUGCAGAACUAUGGGCCCUUGGUUGAGCAGGAUGGAAGUUCAAGUAAAUAUGCAAAAUACUCCGUGCAGGCCUUGGAGCAAAUGCUUGCCUCUCUAUUUCAACCCAAGCCAGGAAGAUAUGGAAGUUUCAAAGGCAGGCAGCCUAGUGAGAAAUUCAACAAUGGGGUUGCAGAUCUUCGUCGUACAGCAUCUGCGGUUGUGUGAUAGUUCAGCUGUUACCGCCUUAUGAUGAUAAGCCUGGAAGGGAACCAUAUCCAAACAUCCCCUUCUGCAGUUACAUGUCAAUUCUUGUUUUGUACAUAUUGACAUCCUUGAGGGCUUUGGAACUGUUGUUCUGCAAAAUCAAUGAGAUCUUGAGGAGCUUGGGGCAUUAAGGUGAUAGCUUACUUUGGCCUUACCUAGGGACGUAGAUAAUACUUGGAGGUAUAGGUAAUAAAUUUACUUUCAUUUUUUUACUCAU